RNAcentral lists this ribosomal RNA (253 nucleotides) under uncultured bacterium. RNAcentral's name for it is "partial 16S ribosomal RNA". It matches the Rfam family "Bacterial small subunit ribosomal RNA", at positions 524 to 776 of the family's 1533-position model. The record is from RNAcentral.
UACGAAGGGUGCUAGCGUUGUUCGGAAUCACUGGGCGUAAAGCGCGCGUAGGCGGCUAUACAAGUCAGGGGUGAAAUCCCAGAGCUCAACUCUGGAAUUGCCUCUGAAACUGUAUAGCUAGAGUGUCGGAGGGGAUAGCGGAAUUGCUAAUGUAGAGGUGAAAUUCGUAGAUAUUAGCAGGAACACCGGUGGCGAAGGCGGCUAUCUGGACGACAACUGACGCUGAAGUGCGAAAGCGUGGGGAUCAAACAGG